GGGAACGUGCCCUUCGGUUCGGAAUAACUCAGGGAAACUUGAGCUAAUACCGGAUACGCCCUUUUGGGGAAAGGUUUACUGCCGAAGGAUCGGCCCGCGUCUGAUUAGCUUGUUGGUGAGGUUACGGCUCACCAAGGCGACGAUCAGUAGCUGGUCUGAGAGGAUGAUCAGCCACACUGGGACUGAGACACGGCCCAGACUCCUACGGGAGGCAGCAGUGGGGAAUAUUGGACAAUGGGGGCAACCCUGAUCCAGCCAUGCCGCGUGAGUGAUGACGGCCUUAGGGUUGUAAAGCUCUUUUCUCCGGGACGAUAAUGACGGUACCGGAGGAAUAAGCCCCGGCUAACUUCGUGCCAGCAGCCGCGGUAAUACGAAGGGGGCUAGCGUUGCUCGGAAUCACUGGGCGUAAAGGGCGCGUAGGCGGCUGAUUUAGUCGAGGGUGAAAGCCCGUGGCUCAACCACGGAAUGGCCUUCGAUACUGGUUGGCUUGAGACCGGAAGAGGACAGCGGAACUGCGAGU
Molecule: ribosomal RNA, 520 nt
Filed under: uncultured bacterium
Lineage: Bacteria
Description: bacterial SSU rRNA
Rfam family: Bacterial small subunit ribosomal RNA
Source: RNAcentral